RNAcentral lists this ribosomal RNA (368 nucleotides) under uncultured organism. RNAcentral describes it as "bacterial SSU rRNA". It matches the Rfam family "Bacterial small subunit ribosomal RNA", at positions 526 to 896 of the family's 1533-position model. The record is from RNAcentral.
CGGAGGGUGCAAGCGUUAUCCGGAUUCACUGGGUUUAAAGGGUGCGUAGGUGGGUUUGUAAGUCAGUGGUGAAAUCUCCGAGCUUAACUCGGAAACUGCCAUUGAUACUAUAGAUCUUGAAUUAUCUGGAGGUGAGCGGAAUAUGUCAUGUAGCGGUGAAAUGCUUAGAUAUGACAUAGAACACCAAUUGCGAAGGCAGCUUACUACACAGUUAUUGACACUGAGGCACGAAAGCGUGGGGAUCAAACAGGAUUAGAUACCCUGGUAGUCCACGCCCUAAACGAUGGAUACUCGACAUUAGCGAUACACAGUUAGUGUCUGAGCGAAAGCAUUAAGUAUCCCACCUGGGAAGUACGAUCGCAAGAUUG